RNAcentral lists this ribosomal RNA (500 nucleotides) under uncultured bacterium. RNAcentral's name for it is "bacterial SSU rRNA". It matches the Rfam family "Bacterial small subunit ribosomal RNA", at positions 30 to 504 of the family's 1533-position model. The record is from RNAcentral.
CGAACGUUGGCGGCGUGCUUAACACAUGCAAGUCGAACGAGAACGUCCCGGCUUGCCGGGAUUAGUAAAGUGGCGCACGGGUGAGUAACACGUGAGUAAUUUCCCUCUAAGCUUGGGAUAACACUGCGAAAGCGGUGCUAAUACCGAAUAAGACCACGGUAUCACAUGAUACAGUGGGAAAAGGUGGCCUCUGUAUAUGCUAUCACUUGGAGAUAAGCUCGCGGACCAUUAGCUUGUUGGUAGGGUAACGGCCUACCAAGGCCAAGAUGGUUAGCUGGUCUGAGAGGAUGAUCAGCCACACUGGAACUGAGAUACGGUCCAGACUCCUACGGGAGGCAGCAGUGGGGAAUAUUGCGCAAUGGGGGAAACCCUGACGCAGUGACGCCGUGUGAGUGAUGAAGGUUUUCGGAUCGUAAAGCUCUGUCAGAUGGGAAGAAUAAAGGCAGGGAAAAUAUUUCUGCCUGAUGACGGUACCAUCAGAGGAAGCACCGGCUAACUCC